GGUUAAGCGACUAAGCGUACACGGUGGAUGCCCUGGCAGUCAGAGGCGAUGAAGGACGUGCUAAUCUGCGAAAAGCGCCGGCGAGGUGAUAUGAACCCUUGACCCGGCGAUGUCCGAAUGGGGAAACCCAGUGUGUUUCGACACACUAUCGUUAACUGAAUACAUAGGUUAACGAGGCGAACCGGGGGAACUGAAACAUCUAAGUACCCCGAGGAAAAGAAAUCAACCGAGAUUCCCCCAGUAGCGGCGAGCGAACGGGGAGCAGCCCGGAGUCUGAAUCAGCUUGUGUGUUAGUGGAACGGUCUGGAAAGUCCGACGGUACAGGGUGAUAGUCCCGUACACGAAAAUACACUUGCUGUGAACUCGAAGAGUAGGGCGGGACACGUGGUAUCCUGUCUGAAUAUGGGGGGACCAUCCUCCAAGGCUAAAUACUCCUGACUGACCGAUAGUGAACCAGUACCGUGAGGGAAAGGCGAAAAGAACCCCGGCGAGGGGAGUGAAAAAGAACCUGAAACCGUGUACGUACAAGCAGUGGGAGCACCUUCGGGUGUGACUGCGUACCUUUUGUAUAAUGGGUCAGCGACUUAUAUUCUGUAGCAAGGUUAACCGUAUAGGGGAGCCGAAGGGAAACCGAGUCUUAACUGGGCGUUAAGUUGCAGGGUAUAGACCCGAAACCCGGUGAUCUAGCCAUGGGCAGGUUGAAGGUUGGGUAACACUAACUGGAGGACCGAACCGACUAAUGUUGAAAAAUUAGCGGAUGACCUGUGGCUGGGGGUGAAAGGCCAAUCAAACCGGGAGAUAGCUGGUUCUCCCCGAAAGCUAUUUAGGUAGCGCCUCGUGAACUCAUCUUCGGGGGUAGAGCACUGUUUCGGCUAGGGGGCCAUCCCGGCUUACCAACCCGAUGCAAACUACGAAUACCGAAGAAUGUUAUCACGGGAGACACACGGCGGGUGCUAACGUCCGUCGUGAAGAGGGAAACAACCCAGACCGCCAGCUAAGGUCCCAAAGUCAUGGUUAAGUGGGAAACGAUGUGGGAAGGCACAGACAGCCAGGAUGUUGGCUUAGAAGCAGCCAUCAUUUAAAGAAAGCGUAAUAGCUCACUGGUCGAGUCGGCCUGCGCGGAAGAUGUAACGGGGCUAAACCAUGCACCGAAGCUGCGGCAGCGACACUAUGUGUUGUUGGGUAGGGGAGCGUUCUGUAAGCCGUUGAAGGUGUGCUGUGAGGCAUGCUGGAGGUAUCAGAAGUGCGAAUGCUGACAUAAGUAACGAUAAAGCGGGUGAAAAGCCCGCUCGCCGGAAGACCAAGGGUUCCUGUCCAACGUUAAUCGGGGCAGGGUGAGUCGACCCCUAAGGCGAGGCCGAAAGGCGUAGUCGAUGGGAAACAGGUUAAUAUUCCUGUACUUGGUGUUACUGCGAAGGGGGGACGGAGAAGGCUAUGUCAGCCGGGCGACGGUUGUCCCGGUUUAAGCAUGUAGGCGGAGGUUCCAGGUAAAUCCGGUACCUUUUAACGCUGAGGUGUGAUGACGAGGCACUACGGUGCUGAAGUGAUAAAUGCCCUGCUUCCAGGAAAAGCCUCUAAGCAUCAGGUAACACGAAAUCGUACCCCAAACCGACACAGGUGGUCAGGUAGAGAAUACCAAGGCGCUUGAGAGAACUCGGGUGAAGGAACUAGGCAAAAUGGUGCCGUAACUUCGGGAGAAGGCACGCUGAUAUGUAGGUGAAGCCCCUGCGGGCGGAGCUGAAAUCAGUCGAAGAUACCAGCUGGCUGCAACUGUUUAUUAAAAACACAGCACUGUGCAAACACGAAAGUGGACGUAUACGGUGUGACGCCUGCCCGGUGCCGGAAGGUUAAUUGAUGGGGUUAGCGGCAACGCGAAGCUCUUGAUCGAAGCCCCGGUAAACGGCGGCCGUAACUAUAACGGUCCUAAGGUAGCGAAAUUCCUUGUCGGGUAAGUUCCGACCUGCACGAAUGGCGUAAUGAUGGCCAGGCUGUCUCCACCCGAGACUCAGUGAAAUUGAACUCGCUGUGAAGAUGCAGUGUACCCGCGGCAAGACGGAAAGACCCCGUGAACCUUUACUAUAGCUUGACACUGAACACUGGUCCUUGAUGUGUAGGAUAGGUGGGAGGCUUUGAAGCGUGGACGCCAGUCUGCGUGGAGCCGUCCUUGAAAUACCACCCUUUAAUGGCUGGUGUUCUAACGUAGACCCGUGAUCCGGGUUGCGGACAGUGUCUGGUGGGUAGUUUGACUGGGGCGGUCUCCUCCCAAAGAGUAACGGAGGAGCACGAAGGUUGGCUAAUCCUGGUCGGACAUCAGGAGGUUAGUGCAAUGGCAUAAGCCAGCUUGACUGCGAGCGUGACGGCGCGAGCAGGUGCGAAAGCAGGUCAUAGUGAUCCGGUGGUUCUGAAUGGAAGGGCCAUCGCUCAACGGAUAAAAGGUACUCCGGGGAUAACAGGCUGAUACCGCCCAAGAGUUCAUAUCGACGGCGGUGUUUGGCACCUCGAUGUCGGCUCAUCACAUCCUGGGGCUGAAGUAGGUCCCAAGGGUAUGGCUGUUCGCCAUUUAAAGUGGUACGCGAGCUGGGUUUAGAACGUCGUGAGACAGUUCGGUCCCUAUCUGCCGUGGGCGCUGGAGAAUUGAGGGGGGCUGCUCCUAGUACGAGAGGACCGGAGUGGACGCAUCACUGGUGUUCGGGUUGUCAUGCCAAUGGCACUGCCCGGUAGCUAAAUGCGGAAGAGAUAAGUGCUGAAAGCAUCUAAGCACGAAACUUGCCCCGAGAUGAGUUCUCCCUGAGACUUUAAGUCUCCUGAAGGAACGUUGAAGACGACGACGUUGAUAGGUCGGGUGUGUAAGCGCAGCGAUGCGUUGAGCUAACCGAUACUAAUGAACCGUGAGGCUUAACCUU
This 2903-nucleotide ribosomal RNA is filed under the name Enterobacter hormaechei. RNAcentral describes it as "23S ribosomal RNA". It matches the Rfam family "Bacterial large subunit ribosomal RNA". The record is from RNAcentral. Lineage: Bacteria; Pseudomonadati; Pseudomonadota; Gammaproteobacteria; Enterobacterales; Enterobacteriaceae.